GGAAGACAUGAAACAAAAUGUAGGUAAAUCUUAAAGACACUACUAUCAAGGUCCUGUUGGAUGGAGGGCAAUCGAAACCGAAAGAGUAAGGCCUAUGUGAAUGAAGGAUUUGUGAUCCAUUUCUGAUGAGCUGAUGCUGCUGAACGAUUCUGAGUGAUGAAGGUUCGCAGUUUCAGCUGCCACUGACCUUGCCCUCUGUAGGCAUAAACGCGGGCUCGUGAUGGCGGCCGCCUGAUCUCCCUC
RNAcentral lists this long non-coding RNA (243 nucleotides) under Varroa destructor (honeybee mite). RNAcentral's name for it is "uncharacterized LOC111251621, transcript variant X2". Lineage: Eukaryota; Metazoa; Arthropoda; Arachnida; Mesostigmata; Varroidae. The record is from RNAcentral.